RNAcentral lists this unclassified non-coding RNA (520 nucleotides) under uncultured Glomus. RNAcentral's name for it is "SSU rRNA". It matches the Rfam family "Eukaryotic small subunit ribosomal RNA", at positions 569 to 1090 of the family's 1831-position model. Lineage: Eukaryota; Fungi; Glomeromycota; Glomeromycetes; Glomerales; Glomeraceae. The record is from RNAcentral.
AGCAGCCGCGGUAAUUCCAGCUCCAAUAGCGUAUAUUAAAGUUGUUGCAGUUAAAAAGCUCGUAGUUGAAUUUCGGGGUUAGCAGGUCGGUCGUGCCAUCGGUAUGAACUGGUCUCGCUGAUCCCUCCCUCUUGACGAACUGUGAUGCCAUUAAUUUGGUGUCGCAGGGAAUCAGGACUGUUACUUUGAAAAAAUUAGAGUGUUUAAAGCAGGCUCACGCUUGAAUACAUUAGCAUGGAAUAAUGAAAUAGGACGUUUGAUCCUAUUUUGUUGGUUUCUAGGAUUGACGUAAUGAUUAAUAGGGAUAGUUGGGGGCAUUAGUAUUCAAUUGUCAGAGGUGAAAUUCUUGGAUUUAUUGAAGACUAACUACUGCGAAAGCAUUUGCCAAGGAUGUUUUCAUUAAUCAAGAACGAAAGUUAGGGGAUCGAAGACGAUCAGAUACCGUCGUAGUCUUAAUCAUAAACUAUGCCGACUAGGGGUCGGAUGAUGUUAAUUUUUUAAUGACUCAUUCGGCGCCUUA